GUCUCCUAUUGGUGCCCUCCCCGAACCGCCACCACCGGUCGGCGCGACCGCCGCUUCCGCCCUCCCGCGUCGGGGGGAGGGGUUCUGCAUAUUCGCCCGCGCCGGCCCGCCCUCUUCCUAACGCCUUGUGGCUCUCCGCCGGGCCCCUUCCGGUUUCUCACUCUAGGGGCGUCUCCGGAUAUCGAGACAAAAGGAUGCCACGGAGAAAGAAAAAAGUUAAAGAAGCUUCAGAAUCUGAGAAUCUGGAAAAGGAUGCAGAAACCACCAGUUCUGUCAGUGUGAAGAGGAAGCGUAGAGUUGAAGAUACAUUCAUUGUGAUAUCUGAUAGUGAUGGAGAGGAACCAAAGGAGGAAACUGGAUUGCAGAAAAUGAAGACAAAACAGUCAAAUAGAACAAACUGUUUGGCUAAAAGAAAAAUUGCACAGAUGACAGAAGAAGAACAGUUUGCCUUGGCUCUCAAAAUGAGUGAGCAGGAAGCUAAGGAGAUGAAUAACCAGGAAGAGGAAGAAGAGGAGCUCUUGAGGAAAGCCAUUGCUGAAAGCCUGAAUAGUUGCCGGCCUUCUGAUGCUUCUGCUACCAGAACUCGCCCUCUGGCCAUUGGACCAUCUUCACAGUCCCACCAAGAGAAAACCACAGACUCUGGGACCACUGAAGGCAUAUGGCAGCUGGUACCUCCAUCACUGUUUAAAGGCUCACAUGUCAGUCAGGGAAACGAGGCUGAGGAAAGAGAGGAUCCUUGGGACCACACUGAAAACACUGAAGAGGAGCCGGUCUCUGGCAGCUCAGGAAGCUGGGACCAGUCAAACCAGCCAGUGUCUGAGAAUGAGAACGUUAAAUGUUUUGACAGAUGUACUGGCCACUUGGCUGAGCACACACAGUGUGGGAAGCCACAGGAAAGUACUGGGAGGGGUUGUGUUGUUCUCCAGGCUGCCCAGGGUAGGGGGGACACAUCUAGGCACUAUUUGCCUAACCCAGCAGAUACAAAAGGCCUCCAGGACAUUGGAGACACUGUGCACUACUUCUGGGGUAUUCCAUUCUGCCCUGCUGGAGUAGACCCUAACCAGUAUACCAAGGUCAUUCUCUGUCAGUUGGAGGUUUAUCAAAAAAGCCUAAAAAUGGCUCAGAGGCAACUUUUUAAAAAAAGGGGGUUUGGGGAACCAGUGUUACCUAGCCCUCCUUCUCUGAUCCAGAAUGAAUGUGCCCAAGGAGAUCAGGCUAGUGAAAAAAAUGAAGGCAUCUCAGAAGAUAUGGGAGAUGAAGACAAAGAGGAGAGGCAGGAAUCUAGGGCAUCUGUCUGGCACUCAGAAACCAAGGAUAUCCAAGAAAACCAAAUUAAAAGCUUGAAACAGAAACUUUUGUUGGAGGAAGAACCAACAACCAGUCACGGUCAGUCUUCCCAAGGGCUGUUUGUUGAAGAAACUUCUGAAGAAGGCAACUCUGUGCCUGGUUCACAAAGCAUUGCUACUUUGACCAGUAAGAAAAGCUUGCUCCUUAUGCCAGAGAGUUCUGCAGAAGAAAUCACUGUUUGUCCUGAGACACAGUUAAGUUCCCCUGAAACUUUUGAUCUUGAAAGAGAAGACUCUUCAGGUGGCGGGGAGACUCGGGAUGAAGUACAAAUAAUAAUGGGGAAAAAAGAGGUUGGUAACAGGAAAGAUGCUGAGAAGGAAACACCUACUUCUACCUUUUCAUCUACUAACCAAGUAUCAUGUCCACUGUGUGACCAAGGCUUCCCACCCACAAAGAUUGAGCAACAUGCUAUGUACUGCAAUGGUCUAAUGGAACAAGAUGCAGUGUUGACUCGGAGACAAAGAGAGGCUAGGAGCAAGACUGACAAAGGGACAUCUGCACAGACUUCCCUAGACAUUGACAAGCUUGAGAAGUGUUACCUCUGUAAAUCCCUGGUCCCAUUUGGAGAGUAUCAAUGUCAUGUUGACUCCUGUCUCCAGCUUGCAAGAGGUGACCAAGGAGAUGGGCCUGAAGGGAGUGGCAAAGCAUAUCCAACUGUGAAAGGGAAGAGGCUGAAGAAUCCAAAGGAAAAAGGCCACAAUGAAGGCCGACUCCUUAGUCUUUUGGAGCAGUCUGAGCGUAAGACCACAGGCUUUAUAAACCUGGGAUUGGGACUGCCUGUUGAACUGCGAAAAAACAUUUCUAAAUCACAAGGGAAUGAUACAAGCCCCAGGGAGACUUUCUGAAGGAACAGGAGUGGAAAAGCAGACAUUCAAACAUUACUAUCUCCUCCUGAUGUUUCUUUAUUAUCAGCUUUUAGUUUAGUGUUCCAGCGUAUGUUCCUGAGGAGUUGGAGAAAGUAACUCCUCCUUGUGCCUGUUAUUUCUAAAUAGCGUUAAGAGUGGAUUGAGAACAUUGAGAGUUAGUAAUACCAACUUUACGGACUACAAGAGUUAUAUCUAGUAAAACUCAAAAACUAUUCCCUGAUAUAAGUAAGCUCAUGAUAAAUGUUAUUGGCUAUUAUUGCUGUUGUUACUAGUUGCUGUUAAUAUUCACCAGAUGACUAUAGAAAGGGAGCUUUUGCUUGAGUGCAAUGAGAUUUGCUUACUGUCUAGUUCUAAUAGUUUAUUCCCACAAAACAAAUCUGUUGUGUCUUCUCCUAAUUAUGAAAAGGCAACAGCCUGUCCAUGCAUAAUCUUCUGCCUGUAGAUCACCAGGUUGUGAACUUCUGCAGGUGGCAGAUUUCCCAUUGUCAAGUACUUAUUGCUCAUGUCCAGAUUUGCAGAUUUAUUCAGAAGUGUUUUACUCAGAAGUGUUCACCUCAUAGCACCUGAAUCUGUUGUAUGCUAGUACUCACAUUCCACUGAUCUGACAAUUGAAGAUUUGAGUUACUUGAAUAGGCCUGAUAGAAAGCAGUGCCUAGGACAUAGGAAGCACCAGAAAAGUAUGGUGUGAUUACCAUUGUUACUUUCUGUCUUGUCACAGAUGCAGAGAUAAAAACCAAGUCUUCAGAAAUAGGAACCUUCAGUCUAUUCUCCACAGGCAAUGGUCUUAGGUUACUUUCAGAGGAAGAGGCAGGCUGCAGCAGAGAGAUGCAGAGUUCCCUCAUACGUCUCAACUUAAAU
This is an RNA transcript of Cavia porcellus (domestic guinea pig), 3071 nucleotides long. It is a transcript of the gene named ubiquitin interaction motif containing 1, with no coding region annotated. The transcript is spliced from 16 exons. The record is from RefSeq and is a predicted model, not a curated record. Lineage: Eukaryota; Metazoa; Chordata; Mammalia; Rodentia; Caviidae.